RNAcentral lists this ribosomal RNA (1406 nucleotides) under uncultured bacterium. RNAcentral's name for it is "16S ribosomal RNA". It matches the Rfam family "Bacterial small subunit ribosomal RNA". The record is from RNAcentral.
AGAGUUUGAUCCUGGCUCAGGAUGAACGCUAGCGACAGGCUUAACACAUGCAAGUCGAGGGGCAGCACGGAGGGAGCAGUCCUUUCGGUGGCGACCGGCGGACGGGUGAGUAACACGUAUGUAACCUACCUGUUACAGGGGGAUAACCCGGAGAAAUCCGGACUAAUACCGCAUACGUUCUUUAUUACACAAGUGAUGAAGAAGAAAGUAGCAAUACGGUAACAGAUGGACAUGCGGUCCAUUAGUUAGUUGGCGGGGUAACGGCCCACCAAGGCGACGAUGGAUAGGGGUUCUGAGAGGAAGGUCCCCCACAUUGGUACUGAGACACGGACCAAACUCCUACGGGAGGCAGCAGUGAGGAAUAUUGGUCAAUGGGCGCGAGCCUGAACCAGCCAAGUCGCGUGAGGGAAGACGGCCUUAUGGGUUGUAAACCUCUUUCAGAUGAGAGUAAAGGGUGCUACGCGUAGCACAUUGCAAGUAUCAUCAGAAGAAGCAUCGGCUAAUUCCGUGCCAGCAGCCGCGGUAAUACGGAAGAUGCGAGCGUUAUCCGGAUUUAUUGGGUUUAAAGGGUGCGUAGGCGGUCGUGCAAGUUGGAGGUGAAAUGCCGGCGCUCAACGUCGGGGGUGCCUCCAAUACUGUGUGGCUGGAAUGGCGAUGCCGCGGGAGGAAUGAGUGGUGUAGCGGUGAAAUGCAUAGAGAUCACUCAGAAUGCCGAUUGCGAAGGCAUCUCGCGAAUCGUCUAUUGACGCUGAGGCACGAGGGCGUGGGGAGCGAACAGGAUUAGAUACCCUGGUAGUCCACGCGGUAAACGAUGAUGACUGGUUGUUGGCGCGUUGGGGCGUCAGGUGUGCCGAGAGAAAUCGUUAAGUCAUCCACCUGGGGAAGUACGGCCGCAAGGCUGAAACUCAAAGGAAUCGACGGGGGCCCGCACAAGCGGAGGAACAUGUGGUUUAAUUCGAUGAUACGCGAGGAACCUUACUCGGGCUCGAACGGUGCAGGAAGGAGCGGGAGACCGCGCCGCCCUACGGGGUCUGCAUCGAGGUGCUGCAUGGUUGUCGUCAGCUCGUGCCGUGAGGUGUCGGCUCAAGUGCCAUAACGAGCGCAACCCUUGCCGUCAGUUGCCAGCGGGUGGAGCCGGGGACUCUGACGGGACUGCCGCCGCAAGGUGAGAGGAAGGUGGGGAUGACGUCAAAUCAGCACGGCCCUUACGUCCGGGGCGACACACGUGUUACAAUGGGGGCUACAGAGGGGGGACCGGGCCGGCGACGGCGAGGGAAUCCCGGAAAGGCCCUCUCAGUUCGGGUCGGAGUCUGCAACCCGACUCCGUGAAGCUGGAUUCGCUAGUAAUCGCGCAUCAGCCAUGGCGCGGUGAAUACGUUCCCGGGCCUUGCACUCACCGCCCGUCA